RNAcentral lists this ribosomal RNA (459 nucleotides) under uncultured bacterium. RNAcentral describes it as "partial 16S ribosomal RNA". It matches the Rfam family "Bacterial small subunit ribosomal RNA", at positions 338 to 795 of the family's 1533-position model. The record is from RNAcentral.
CCUACGGGGUGCAGCAGUGAGGAAUAUUGGUCAAUGGCCGCAGGGCUGAACCAGCCAAGUCGCGUGAGGGAAGACGGCCCUAUGGGUUGUAAACCUCUUUUGUCGGAGAACAAAACCCGGGACGUGUCCCGGACUGCGUGUAUCCGAAGAAAAAGCAUCGGCUAACUCCGUGCCAGCAGCCGCGGUAAUACGGAGGAUGCGAGCGUUAUCCGGAUUUAUUGGGUUUAAAGGGUGCGUAGGCGGUCCGUUAAGUCAGCGGUAAAAUUGCGGGGCUCAACCCCGGCGAGCCGUUGAAACUGGCGGGCUGGAGUUGGAGAGAAGUACGCGGAAUGCGCGGUGUAGCGGUGAAAUGCUUAGAUAUCGCGCAGAACCCCGAUUGCGAAGGCAGCGUACCGGCUCCACACUGACGCUGAGGCACGAAAGCGUGGGUAUCGAACAGGAUUAGAUACCCCAGUAGUC